Molecule: transfer RNA, 72 nt
Filed under: Sphaerodactylus townsendi
Lineage: Eukaryota; Metazoa; Chordata; Lepidosauria; Squamata; Sphaerodactylidae
Description: tRNA-Pro
Source: RNAcentral
GGCCUUGUGAUUCAGAGGUAGAGCUUCUGCUUGGGAUCCUGAACGUCCUAGGUUCAAUCCCCAGCAUUUCCA